RNAcentral lists this unclassified non-coding RNA (3305 nucleotides) under Hevea brasiliensis (rubber tree). Lineage: Eukaryota; Viridiplantae; Streptophyta; Magnoliopsida; Malpighiales; Euphorbiaceae. The record is from RNAcentral.
GAGAGAGAGAGAGAGAGAAAACAAAACACACACAUGCACACAAAGCACUUGCUCCCUGCUAAUCAGUUUUAUAAUUCUAUUUCUCCAAGUCUAGGAAAAUACUAGGCUAUAGAAAUAUUUACAAAGACGACAUAUUCUUUCCUUGUCAUUUUGAUUUAGAAUUAGUGAUCCAAAAUAGGAGAAUUAGUUAUUAAUACUAAGGGAAUAAAUUCCUUAAAGAAAGCAAAUACUAAGUAGUAAGAAUUGCAGAGCUUGUAGAUAAUGAUAAUGUUCGGCCUAAUUAUAAAAUCCAAGGAGAAUUACAAGAAAAUCUAAAUCAACAAAAUUGAAAUUACAUAAAUAAUUUUCAGUUUCCUUUAUGCUUGGCUGCAUCAUUUAAUGAAGUAUUCAUAUGUGAUAAUAAACAAUAUAAACUCAAAAGACCUUAUUUAGAGAAUUAUUACUGCCGCUAAGCAUGAAUAGAAUCUAAGAUGAGUACAGAUUGGAGGAAACACUAAUUAAACAAGGCUGACAGGCAUACUGUGAUUUGUCUAUCUUGGAGCCAAAUUAAUUGGCCAAAACUGUUAGCCUUCUGCCUUAUGCAUUCAUGUUACUAUCCAAUAGUCUAAGACUAGUCAAUUGCAGCUUUGUUGUCAUCUCCUCUAAUUGCAGGUAUCUGUGCUUAAUAAUUUGGUAUAAUAUGAAAACUUUGCUUCUUGCCUUUGUUCAGUAUGAUGCAGAUUUUGUAUUUGAAUUUUUAGAAAGGUCAGGACUAACAUUAGUUUCAAAUAUAUGAGAAGUGAGUAUUGUGGGAUUGAAAUACAUAUUUUCCAUUCUUCUAUGUGUGCAUAUAUGCAUAAAUUGCACCAGUCACAGAUCUAAUUCAAUUAUGGUUAUUGCUUAAAUGAGGCUGUUAGAAGUCCCUUGAAUACUUCUGUUCAGAAUUAAUGUCUAUUUUCAGCUGAUGCAUAGUGGAUCAGACUGUGAAUGCAUUGCUCUGUUCCAGUUAUACUUAAUAUUAGAUGUAUAGUAAAACAUUUCAGUAUUUACUUGCAGAGAGGAGACAGCUGUCCUUAGCUAACUCACUUUGUGUUCUUGUUUGACUUUUCGUGGAUUUUGGUUAUUUUUAUUGAUUUUUAAUUAGAGUAGUUAACUAGUGAUUCUAAUAUAUUUAUUCUAACUGAUGAUUAUUUGAAGAUUUCAGCAGCUUCUGUACUUUCCAUACAACAGUGUUGGCUUUUAGUAGAUGCAUAAUCUUUGCAUUGCAUACGGAUAUGGGUUAGUGUUGUUGAUAUCUCAGGAAUCUAACCAUGAAUGCAGAGAAUCUCAUUUGCAACUUUAGUUUGUUUCUGCAAUCUGCAAUAUGUGAUCUCAGACUGUUUUGUCCCUGAAAAAGCACCCUUAAAUUUCCGCUGUUUGAAACUUAGGCUGCUGAACAAGAAUUAGUUUCCAACUAAAUUAUUUUUGUUUAACUGCAAUAUAUACAUUAUAUUGUCUCUCUCUCUCUUUUUUGGGGUUUAUGCAAAUUAUAAUUUUUUCAGAUAGUUGCAUAAGCAAAUUCAGGAAUGACAUGUUUGAUUGCUAAUACAAUUGCUUGAUGUUCAAAUUUAUUAUUUUUCCUUUUCUUAUCUCCUGGAAUAUCCCUUAUAUUUUUAAUUUUUGUGAAUUAAUUUUUCUAACAGAUAUUAGAGUAACAGCUUAUUACUUUAUUAUUAUUAUUUUUUGGAUUUUCAAAGUAUGAUAAAAGAAGAAAACAAUGUUAUGAUCGAGGAGAAGCAAAUUGAAAAAUCUCAAAUCUUUAAUUUCUUCAACACGAAGCUCGAGUGAAGGGACAGCAGACCAUAGUUGCAAAACUGAAGAACGAAAGAGUAAUGAUCAAAUGAAAAAGAAGCAAAGCAAAAAGUCUCAUUCGUUCAAUUCUUCAAGAGGAAGCUUGAAUGAGAGGCUAGGUAGAAGAGCCUCAGUUUACAGGCCUCGAAAGAAUGAUGUCGAAAGUAGCUCGAGUUACAGCAGGCCUAAAAGGGGUGAAGCUGAAAGUUAUCACAAGGGGAUUCAAAAACUUAUGCCGAGAUAUCCCAAGGAUAGUGGUAUUGAAAGUACCAUUUCAUCUACCUCCACAUCAUUGACAUUCAAGGGAAGAAGCUAGAGUGGGAAGGAUGAUAAAAGAAUGGAAGGAAUUUCAGACACCGCAGUUGUAAAGAACGAAGUGAAACUAGAUGGCAGCAAUCCUAAUGUUUCUAUUUCUCCAAUUCGUUCGAAUAGGUGCAGUAGCUCUGAUGACAAUCGAAGUUCUAUAACAAAAAAUACUGUCACUAGGAUAGCUAAAAAACCAUCCAAAAUUCCCAGCAAUAGUAACGUUCCUAUGUUAGGGAAAGUAAGUGAAGAUUCCACCAGUGAAAGGGUGACAUUGAGUUCAACAAACAACAUAAUGUCAACAGAUACUAGUAUAUCACGGGAUUUCUUUCCUCCAAACUAGGUGAUAUCAGGCCAGGAGGUGUUAUGGCAGGGAUAAAUUAUUUUGCUUGCUGCUGUGGAGGCUUUACAAGAGGCUUCUGCAGCUGAGAAAUUGCUCAAAUGCCUAAGGUGUGCUACUUAGUGUGAUAACUAUUGCCAGCAGAGGCUUUGCUGAUGUAUUUAGGUAAUUAAUGACAGAUGUGAGAGAAGUUUAAGACUGUAUGUCAGGUAAUACUUUCUUGUGAUUUUUCCGGCAUUUAUUCUCUAAGUCAAGGAGGAUAAGCAGCAUCCAUCAGUAGACAAAUUUUUUAGUCUUCAGGAUGACUGGGUUCAGGCCAAAUUAAUUUCUCGAUCAUUAACCAGUAUUAUUAAUCAGGGAAUAGCUAAUACUUGUUACAAUUGCUUCUUAUUCUGUAAGAGAAGAAACAAAACUUGCAUUUGAGAGAAAGCUAAAUGCAAUUACAUGGAUGAAAGCAGCUUUGGAUUCUGAUCUUAACUCAGUUUCUGAUCAUAUCAAAGCCACUAGUAUUUCCAUGGAAAGUAAUAGGUACACACAGAAGUGAAUUGAUUGAUAAAGAGUGCACCGAUAAGUGCUUUGGCUGUAUUAUCAGAAAUUGCAAAUGCCUUGAAUAAAGAGUGUAGAACAUGGUUUUUUGAGGAUUACUUAGAUUGGGUUAAUAGCAAUUAUUAGUAAUUAUUUAUUGGUAACAUGUAUAUGAGGAAUAGAAUUUCAGAAUUUAAAAAAAGAAAGAGAAAAAAAGAAUUAAAGAACAUAAAAUUAAUUAUUUGUAGACAAGGUUACAAGCUUACUGAAAACACAACGAAGUCUCACGUUUCUGCUGUCAUCAAGUGGUCGAUAAGCACUGAUCGAC